AUGGGCAGUGGUCCAGCUACCCCGGUAAAGGGGAGGCCGGGCAGCCGAGGGUCCGGCCGCUCCCCCUCCUCAGACGCUGGCUGGCUUCUCAGAAGGCCACCCGGGCCGUUUGCGGGCAGGCCUGCGAGGGCCUGCCGCCAGGACCGGAGUGUGCUCAGGGGCGUCCCGCGGCCAGUCUGGCUCCCCCCUGCUGUUCCCAGCUCUGUGAUUGGCAGUAGGGCCAAUUUGGGGCCCCGUCUGCCACCACCUACGUCUGUGUCCUUUCUGCAGAUGAGGAGGGUGUCCCCCCGAGUGGAGAGGUGCAAUAAGAAACCUCGUGUGCCAACUUCCCGGGGGCGUAGCACCGAGCCACGGCUGCCACCAGCACUGCCCCUUCUCUUCCUCCGGCUCGUGUGCCCUGGCGCCGGGGGCCAGGCCAGGGCGAGGGGCGAGCCUCCUUCAUGUGCAGAGCCCGGAACGGGUGCGCACGUGAGCACACAUGCACACGCACACACAUGCACGCACACACACGCAUAUGCGCACACACACAGGACACUGUGCAGGGCUGUGCGUCAGCGGAGGGAGCGCCGGGUGUUCUCUCCGCGGUACCUGUUCCCUUCACUCCUUGCCCCCUGGCCUGUCAGCUCUGCAGGAAAUCGACACCCACCCGCUACCCGCCCCCACCCUCCGUCUGCCUGGAGCCAGCUCCGGGUGUGGCCCGAGCAACCAAGCACUGGGAAGCCCCCCUUCACCGGCCCCUUGGCCACCCGCAGGGUGGGCUUUCUCAGAGAUGACCCUUUGGAGCUCGAAUGGGAGGGAGGCGAACUGUCCUCAAGGAACCGUCCUCAGCACCCAACGGGAAGAAACAUUUCUGCAGAGGGAUUUCCUUCACGGCCGCUGGAUGUCAGAGCUGCUUUUCUUUCUUGGCAAGCUGGUGGCCGGGCACGUUCUGUGGCCUGGCUGGAAUUCCGGGGUUCCUCCCAGACCAACUUUCCUGGCCUGGGAGGUGCACGCCAGCACCCUUUGUUCUGCCGGCCUUGUGAGCUGGCUAGAGCUCGGGGUCCUGACCUGUGCCCUACUUCCCACAAGGUCAAAUCCGUGCCCGCUCCUCUGUGGGGCUGGAGGGCGACCCUGGGGUCAGAGUCCCUCUGGGGGACUCUGAGAUGUCAGUUAACAGCACAUCUGGAGGGGUCUCCUGUCCCCUUCGGGCCUCCGACUGGGGGAGGGUUUGGGGAGGUGUGUGUGUUCGGGGUACUGGUUGCCAGGUGA
This 1248-nucleotide long non-coding RNA is filed under the name Felis catus (domestic cat). RNAcentral describes it as "lncRNA (ENSFCAG00000049783.1)". Lineage: Eukaryota; Metazoa; Chordata; Mammalia; Carnivora; Felidae. The record is from RNAcentral.